This 50-nucleotide transfer RNA is filed under the name Diadema setosum. RNAcentral describes it as "partial tRNA-Lys". The record is from RNAcentral. Lineage: Eukaryota; Metazoa; Echinodermata; Echinoidea; Diadematoida; Diadematidae.
UCUUUAAACUCUUAAUUUAAAAGAAAGUAGUUAAAUUCUACUAUUAAGGG